CCAAGUACAGUGGUGCCCCGCAAGACGAACGCCUCGCAAGACGAAAAACUCGCAAGACGAAAGGUUUUUUCGUUUUCGAGUUGCUUCGCAAGACGAAUGUCCCUAUGGGCUUGCUUCGCAAGACGAAAACGUCUUGCAAGUUUGUUUCCUUUUUCGUAAAACCGUUAAAACCCAGGGUGCAUUGCUGGAAGAGGUGCAGUUGCGACUUGACCUCGAGGAGCAACACAUUGCACGCGGUGUGGUGGCCUUUCUGAGCUUUUUAAAGAGUUUGCUGGAUUUUUGAAGCUUUUCCAAAACUUCUUCUACAGCUGUUUGGUAAGUUGAACUUUUAAAACUUUUUUUUGGGUUUUGGGGAUUUUGGGUUGGGGUGUUUAGAAUUCAAGGACUUGGUGUUGGGGAGAGGUUUGCAAGAAUCUGGGAGCUUGUGUGGUUUUUUUCUGCAUUUUUAUGAUUUUCUGUGACCAUUGGGCCAUGUUUAUUUUUUUUAAAAAAAAAAAUCUGGCUUUGAAUUUUUGAAUUUCUGUGUGCUGGGUGGAUGGGGGAACAGCUGGGGAGGUGUUUGCAAGAAUCUGGGAGCUUGUGUGCUUUUUUUUGAAUUUUUAUGAUUUUUUUGUGACCAUUGGGCCAUGUUGUUUUUUUUUGAAAAAAGUUUCUGGGUUUUAAAUUUCUGUGUGCUGGGUGGAUGGGGGAACAGCUGGGGAGGUGUUUGCAAGAAUCUGGGAGCUUGUGUGCUUUUUUUUGAAUUUUUAUGAUUUUUUUGUGACCAUUGGGCCAUGUUGUUUUUUUUAAAAAA
This 793-nucleotide long non-coding RNA is filed under the name Podarcis lilfordi (Lilford's wall lizard). Lineage: Eukaryota; Metazoa; Chordata; Lepidosauria; Squamata; Lacertidae. The record is from RNAcentral.